UGCAGCAACGCCGCGUGAGGGACGACGGCCUUCGGGUUGUAAACCUCUUUUAGCAGGGAAGAAGCGAAAGUGACGGUACCUGCAGAAAAAGCACCGGCUAACUACGUGCCAGCAGCCGCGGUAAUACGUAGGGUGCAAGCGUUGUCCGGAAUUAUUGGGCGUAAAGAGCUCGUAGGCGGUUUGUCGCGUCUGCUGUGAAAUCCCGAGGCUCAACCUCGGGUCUGCAGUGGGUACGGGCAGACUAGAGUGCGGUAGGGGAGAUUGGAAUUCCUGGUGUAGCGGUGGAAUGCGCAGAUAUCAGGAGGAACACCGAUGGCGAAGGCAGAUCUCUGGGCCGCUACUGACGCUGAGGAGCGAAAGGGUGGGGAGCAAACAGGCUUAGAUACCCUGGUAGUCCACCCCGUAAACGUUGGGCGCUAGAUGUGGGGACCAUUCCACGGUUUCCGUGUCGUAGCUAACGCAUUAAGCGCCCCGCCUGGGGAGUACGGCCGCAAGGCUAAAACUCAAAGGAAUUGACGGGGGCCCGCACAAGCGGCGGAGCAUGCGGAUUAAUUCGAUGCAACGCGAAGAACCUUACCAAGGCUUGACAUAUACGAGAACGGGCCAGAAAUGGUCAACUCUUUG
This 624-nucleotide ribosomal RNA is filed under the name Plantibacter sp. Ri1Pt_3863. RNAcentral describes it as "bacterial SSU rRNA". It matches the Rfam family "Bacterial small subunit ribosomal RNA", at positions 387 to 1020 of the family's 1533-position model. Lineage: Bacteria; Bacillati; Actinomycetota; Actinomycetes; Micrococcales; Microbacteriaceae. The record is from RNAcentral.